AUCAGAGUGGCCUAGCGGAAAAAGCACGGGCCUAGGAGUCAGAGGACCUGGGUUCUAAUCCCAGCUCUGCCA
Molecule: non-coding RNA, 72 nt
Organism: Ornithorhynchus anatinus (platypus)
Lineage: Eukaryota; Metazoa; Chordata; Mammalia; Monotremata; Ornithorhynchidae
Source: Rfam